This 368-nucleotide ribosomal RNA is filed under the name uncultured eukaryote. RNAcentral describes it as "SSU rRNA". It matches the Rfam family "Eukaryotic small subunit ribosomal RNA", at positions 587 to 972 of the family's 1831-position model. The record is from RNAcentral.
AGCUCUCAUGGCGUAUAUCGUCAUUGUUGCAGUUAAAAAGCUCGUAGUUGGAUCUCAGCGUUCGUCCGUGGUCCGCCCUCUGGGCGAGUACUGCGGACCUCGCUCUCGUGUCGGUCUUCGCUGGGUUUCCGCCCAGCGUGGCUGACAAGAUUACUUUGAACAAAUCAGAGUGCUCAAAACAGGCUGGUGCCUGAAUGAUCUUGCAUGGAAUAAUGGAAUAGGACUGCGGUUCUAUUUUGUUGGUUUUCGGAACCACAGUAAUGAUUGAGAGGAACAAACGGGGGCAUUCGUAUCGCUACGCGAGAGGUGAAAUUCUUAGACCGUAGCGGGACGCCCGAUUGCGAAAGCAUUUGCCAAGAAUGUUUUCA